Molecule: ribosomal RNA, 253 nt
Filed under: uncultured prokaryote
Description: partial 16S ribosomal RNA
Rfam family: Bacterial small subunit ribosomal RNA
Source: RNAcentral
ACGAAGGGUGCAAGCGUUAAUCGGAAUUACUGGGCGUAAAGGGUGCGUAGGCGGUUCGUUAAGUCUGUCGUGAAAUCCCCGGGCUCAACCUGGGAAUGGCGAUGGAUACUGGCGAGCUAGAGUGUGGUAGAGGGUGGCGGAAUUCCCGGUGUAGCAGUGAAAUGCGUAGAGAUCGGGAGGAACAUCCGUGGCGAAGGCGGCCACCUGGGCCAAUACUGACGCUCAUGCACGAAAGCGUGGGGAGCAAACAGGA